Molecule: ribosomal RNA, 251 nt
Filed under: uncultured Flavisolibacter sp.
Lineage: Bacteria; Pseudomonadati; Bacteroidota; Chitinophagia; Chitinophagales; Chitinophagaceae
Description: partial 16S ribosomal RNA
Rfam family: Bacterial small subunit ribosomal RNA
Source: RNAcentral
UACGGAGGGUGCAAGCGUUAUCCGGAUUCACUGGGUUUAAAGGGAGCGUAGGAGGGCAGGUAAGUCAGUGGUGAAAUCUUCGAGCUUAACUCGGAAACUGCCGUUGAUACUAUCUGUCUUGAAUACAGUGGAGAUGAGCGGAAUAUGUCAUGUAGCGGUGAAAUGCUUAGAUAUGACAUAGAACACCAAUUGCGAAGACAGCUCGUUACACGAAUAUUGACUCUGAGGCUCAAACACGUGGGGAUCAAACA